This 440-nucleotide ribosomal RNA is filed under the name uncultured bacterium. RNAcentral describes it as "partial 16S ribosomal RNA". It matches the Rfam family "Bacterial small subunit ribosomal RNA", at positions 338 to 795 of the family's 1533-position model. The record is from RNAcentral.
CCUACGGGUGGCAGCAGUGGGGAAUAUUGCACAAUGGGGGAAACUCUGAUGCAGCGACGCCGCGUGCGUGAAGAAGUAAUUCGUAAUGUAAAGCUCUAUCUGUAGGGAAGAAAAUGACGGUACCUGUGUAAGAAGCCCCGGCUAACUCCGUGCCAGCAGCCGCGGUAAUACGUAGGGGGCAAGCGUUAUCCGGAUUUACUGGGUGUAAAGGGAGCGUAGACGGCAGUGCAAGUCUGGAGUGAAAGGCGGGGGCUCAACCCCCGAACUGCUCUGGAAACUGUACGGCUGGAGUGCAGGAGAGGUAAGUGGAAUUUCUGGUGUAGCGGGGAAAUGCGUAGAUAUUAGGAGGAACACCAGUGGCGAAGGCGGCUUACUGGACUGUAACUGACGUUGAGGCUCGAAAGCGUGGGGAGCAAACAGGAUUAGAUACCCGAGUAGUC